UGGGGAAUAUUGGACAAUGGGCGAAAGCCUGAUCCAGCCAUGCCGCGUGUGUGAAGAAGGUCUUCGGAUUGUAAAGCACUUUAAGUUGGGAGGAAGGGCAGUAAGCGAAUACCUUGCUGUUUUGACGUUACCGACAGAAUAAGCACCGGCUAACUCUGUGCCAGCAGCUGCGGUAAUACAGAGGGUGCAAGCGUUAAUCGGAAUUACUGGGCGUAAAGCGCGCGUAGGUGGUUAGUUAAGUUGAAUGUGAAAGCCCCGGGCUCAACCUGGGAACUGCAUCCAAAACUGGCGAGCUAGAGUAGGGCAGAGGGUGGUGAAAUUUCCUGUGUAGCGGAGAAAUGCGUAGAUAUAGGAAGGAACACCAGUGGCGAAGGCGACCACCUGGGCUCAUACUGACACUGAGGUGCGAAAGCGUGGGGGGCAAACAGG
Molecule: ribosomal RNA, 429 nt
Filed under: Pseudomonadota bacterium
Lineage: Bacteria; Pseudomonadati; Pseudomonadota
Description: Proteobacteria bacterium partial 16S ribosomal RNA
Rfam family: Bacterial small subunit ribosomal RNA
Source: RNAcentral